GACGAACGCUGGCGGCGUGCUUAACACAUGCAAGUCGAACGGAAAGGCCCUGCUUUUGUGGGGUGCUCGAGUGGCGAACGGGUGAGUAACACGUGAGUAACCUGCCCUUGACUUUGGGAUAACUUCAGGAAACUGGGGCUAAUACCGGAUAGGAGCUACUGCUGCAUGGUGGGGGUUGGAAAGUUUCGGCGGUUGGGGAUGGACUCGCGGCUUAUCAGCUUGUUGGUGGGGUAGUGGCUUACCAAGGCUUUGACGGGUAGCCGGCCUGAGAGGGUGACCGGCCACAUUGGGACUGAGAUACGGCCCAGACUCCUACGGGAGGCAGCAGUGGGGAAUAUUGCACAAUGGGCGGAAGCCUGAUGCAGCAACGCCGCGUGCGGGAUGACGGCCUUCGGGUUGUAAACCGCUUUCGCCUGUGACGAAGCGUGAGCGACGGUAAUGGGUAAAGAAGCACCGGCUAACUACGUG
RNAcentral lists this ribosomal RNA (468 nucleotides) under uncultured bacterium. RNAcentral's name for it is "partial 16S ribosomal RNA". It matches the Rfam family "Bacterial small subunit ribosomal RNA", at positions 28 to 507 of the family's 1533-position model. The record is from RNAcentral.